Molecule: ribosomal RNA, 324 nt
Filed under: uncultured Glomeromycotina
Lineage: Eukaryota; Fungi; Glomeromycota
Description: LSU rRNA
Source: RNAcentral
UUGAAAGGGAAACGAUUGAAGUGAUCGAUUGUCGUCAGUCAUGCCGGUGGGAAUCAACUUAGGGGAAAUUCUGGGUGCACUUCUUCGCUUGGAGGUUAACGUCGAUUUUGAAUGUCCUGAAAUAAUUGGGGGAACGUAGCUCCUUCGGGAGUGUUAUAGCCCUUGAUAGAUGUGAUGUUUGGGGUCAAGGAUUGCAACGGAUACUCUUCGGGGCUAGCCGCCUGAUCUCUAAUUGGUGUUGGGUUACGGAUAGCAUGCUGACCGUGAUCUAAUUACUGGUUAAAAGGUUAGAGUGUGCAUAAAUUCGUUAAGGAUGUUGACGUA